AACGAACGCUGGCGGCGCGCCUAAUACAUGCAAGUCGAGCGAGAAGACGUAGCAAUACGUUUGUAAAGCGGCGAACGGGUGAGGAAUACAUGGGUAACCUACCCUCGAGUGGGGAAUAACUAGCCGAAAGGUUAGCUAAUACCGCGUACGCUCCUUGGACUUCGGUUCAGGGAGGAAAGCGAUACCGUGGGUAUCGCGCUCUUGGAUGGGCUCAUGUCCUAUCAGCUUGUUGGNGAGGUAACGGCUCACCAAGGCUUCGACGGGUAGCUGGUCUGAGAGGACGAUCAGCCACACUGGCACUGCGACACGGGCCAGACUCCUACGGGAGGCAGCAGUAAGGAAUAUUGCGCAAUGGGCGAAAGCCUGACGCAGCGACGCCGCGUGGGGGAUGGAAGGUC
RNAcentral lists this ribosomal RNA (398 nucleotides) under uncultured bacterium. Its description in RNAcentral is "bacterial SSU rRNA". It matches the Rfam family "Bacterial small subunit ribosomal RNA", at positions 29 to 417 of the family's 1533-position model. The record is from RNAcentral.